CAUGUUCACAUGAUUAAAGGUAUUCCGGUAGACGAUGGGGAUGCGUUCCAUUAGAUAGUUGGCGGGGUAACGGCCCACCUAGUCUUCGAUGGAUAGGGGUUCUGAGAGGAAGGUCCCCCACAUUGGAUCUGAGACACGGUCCAAACUCCUACGGGAGGCAGCAGUGAGGAAUAUUGGUCAAUGGGCGAGAGCUUGAGCCAUCCAAGUAGCGUGAAGGAUGACUGCCCUAUGGGUUGUAAACUUCUUUUAUAAAGGAAUAAAGUCGGGUAUGGAUACCCGUUUGCAUGUACUUUAUGAAUAAGGAUCGGCUAACUCCGUGCCAGCAGCCGCGGUAAUACGGAGGAUCCGAGCGUUAUCCGGAUUUAUUGGGUUUAAAGGGAGCGUAGAUGGAUGUUUAAGUCAGUUGUGAAAGUUUGCGGCUCAACCGUAAAAUUGCAGUUGAUACUGGAUAUCUUGAGUGCAGUUGAGGCAGGCGGAAUUCGUGGUGUAGCGGUGAAAUGCUUAGAUAUCACGAAGAACUCCGAUUGCGAAGGCAGCCUGCUAAGCUGCAACUGACAUUGAGGCUCGAAAGUGUGGGUAUCAAACAGGAUUAGAUACCCUGGUAGUCCACACGGUAAACGAUGAAUACUCGCUGUUUGCGAUAUAC
This 646-nucleotide ribosomal RNA is filed under the name uncultured bacterium. RNAcentral describes it as "bacterial SSU rRNA". It matches the Rfam family "Bacterial small subunit ribosomal RNA", at positions 184 to 834 of the family's 1533-position model. The record is from RNAcentral.